This 252-nucleotide ribosomal RNA is filed under the name uncultured bacterium. RNAcentral's name for it is "partial 16S ribosomal RNA". It matches the Rfam family "Bacterial small subunit ribosomal RNA", at positions 524 to 776 of the family's 1533-position model. The record is from RNAcentral.
UACGUAGGUGGCAAGCGUUGUCCGGAAUUAUUGGGCGUAAAGAGCAUGUAGGCGGGAAUCUAAGUCUGUUGUGAAAAUGCGGGGCUCAACCCCGUAUGGCGAUGGAAACUGGAUUUCUUGAGUGCAGGAGAGGAAAGGGGAAUUCCCAGUGUAGCGGUGAAAUGCGUAGAUAUUGGGAGGAACACCAGUGGCGAAGGCGCCUUUCUGGACUGUGUCUGACGCUGAGAUGCGAAAGCCAGGGUAGCGAACGGG